CCUACGGGUGGGCUGCAGUGAGGAAUAUUGGUCAAUGGGCGGAAGCCUGAACCAGCCAAGUAGCGUGCAGGAUGACGGCCCUACGGGUUGUAAACUGCUUUUAUACGGGAAUAACGCGCCUUACGUGUUGGGCUUUGCAUGUACCGUAAGAAUAAGGACCGGCUAAUUCCGUGCCAGCAGCCGGGGUAAUACGGAAGGUCAGGGCGGUAUCCGGAUGUAUUGGGUUUAAAGGGAGCGUAGGCCGCAUGUCAAGCGUGCUGUGAAAUGUCCGGGCUCAACCCGGGCCUUGCAGCGCGAACUGGCGUGCGUGAGUCCGCGGAAAGCAGGCGGAAUUCGUCGUGUAGCGGUGAAAUGCUUAGAUAUGACGAAGAACCCCGAUUGCGAAGGCAGCUUGCUGCAGCGGAACUGACGCUGAUGCUCGAAAGCGCGGGUAUCGAACAGGAUUAGAUACCCUGGUAGUC
RNAcentral lists this ribosomal RNA (461 nucleotides) under uncultured bacterium. RNAcentral's name for it is "partial 16S ribosomal RNA". It matches the Rfam family "Bacterial small subunit ribosomal RNA", at positions 338 to 795 of the family's 1533-position model. The record is from RNAcentral.